GGAAUAUUGCACAAUGGGGGAAACCCUGAUGCAGCGACGCCGCGUGAGUGAAGAAGUAUUUCGGUAUGUAAAGCUCUAUCAGCAGGGAAGAAAAUGACGGUACCUGACUAAGAAGCCCCGGCUAACUACGUGCCAGCAGCCGCGGUAAUACGUAGGUGGCGAGCGUUAUCCGGAUUUACUGGGUGUAAAGGGCGCGUAGGCGGGGGUGCAAGUCAGAUGUGAAAUCUAUGGGCUUAACUCAUAAACUGCAUUUGAAACUGUACUUCUUGAGUACUGGAGAGGUAGACGGAAUUCCUUGUGUAGCGGUGAAAUGCGUAGAUAUAAGGAAGAACACCAGUGGCGAAGGCGGUCUACUGGACAGCAACUGACGCUGAGGCGCGAAAGCGUGGGGAGCAAACA
This 399-nucleotide ribosomal RNA is filed under the name uncultured bacterium. Its description in RNAcentral is "bacterial SSU rRNA". It matches the Rfam family "Bacterial small subunit ribosomal RNA", at positions 358 to 774 of the family's 1533-position model. The record is from RNAcentral.